UUCUAGUAUUAGCACAUACUUUAUUAAAGAUCAGCCUAUUGUCAGUAAUUCCUCACAACAUGAUUUGGGUAUCUUGCUCUCUGAUAACUUAUCAUGGUCCAAUCACUAUUCUUUUAUUGUCUCUAAAGCUCUUAAAAUCCUUGGUUUGCUUAGGAGAUCUUUUAGUACCUCUACUCCAGUGAGGGUUAAGAAGUUGCUCUACUUAACUUUGAUUUAUUAAGGAUAUUAUGCUACUCGAAAGAGUACAGCGGAGAGCUACGAAGUGGAUUUUGGGAGACUACUCUUCAGACUAUAAAGAGAGACUAUUGUCACUUCAGAUGCUGCCAUUAAUGAUGACAUACGAGGUUAAUGAUGUUUUCUUUUUUCUAAAAUCUUUGUCUUAUCCAUCAGCUGCUUUUGAUAUUAGGAACUUUAUCACAUUCUCAACUAAUCCGUAUCGUCACUACAAUCUACUUCAUGUUACAUGUACAAAUAAUACUUCGAGGCAUUUUUAUUUUAGCAGACUACCUAGGCUUUGGAAC
Long non-coding RNA from Amphimedon queenslandica, 521 nucleotides. RefSeq lists it as uncharacterized. The transcript is spliced from 2 exons. Lineage: Eukaryota; Metazoa; Porifera; Demospongiae; Haplosclerida; Niphatidae. The record is from RefSeq and is a predicted model, not a curated record.